GUGUCAGCCGCCGCGGUAAUACGUAGGGGGCAAGCGUUAUCCGGAUUCAUUGGGCGUAAAGAGCGCGUAGGCGGAUUGUUAAGUCAGAUGUGAAAACUGGGGGCUCAACCCGCAGCCUGCAUCUGAAACUGGCAGUCUUGAGUCUGGUAGAGGAAAGUGGAAUUCCCAGUGUAGCGGUGAAAUGCGCAGAUAUUGGGAGGAACACCAGUGGCGAAGGCGGCUUUCUGGGCCACGACUGACGCUGAGGCGCGAA
Molecule: ribosomal RNA, 253 nt
Filed under: uncultured bacterium
Lineage: Bacteria
Description: partial 16S rRNA
Rfam family: Bacterial small subunit ribosomal RNA
Source: RNAcentral